CCUUUACGGAGCCAGCCGCCGAAGGUGGGACAGAUGAUUGGGGUGAAGUCGUAACAAGGUAGCCGUAUCGGAAGGUGCGGCUGGAUCACCUCCUUUCUAAGGAA
Molecule: ribosomal RNA, 104 nt
Filed under: Heyndrickxia coagulans
Lineage: Bacteria; Bacillati; Bacillota; Bacilli; Caryophanales; Bacillaceae
Description: partial 16S ribosomal RNA
Rfam family: Bacterial small subunit ribosomal RNA
Source: RNAcentral